CGCGAAUGGCUCAUUACAACAGCUAUAAUUUACUUGAUCUUGACUUCCUACUUGGAUAACUGUGGUAAUUCCAGAGCUAAUACAUGCACCAAAGCUCCGACCUUACGGGAAGAGCGCAUUUAUUCGAACAAAACCAAGCGGCUUCGGCCGUCCGCAGUUGACUCAGAAUAACUAAGCUGAUCGCAUGGUCUUGAACCGGCGACGUGUCUUUCAAGAAUCUGCCUUAUCAACUUUCGAUGGUAGUGUAUCUGACUACCAUGGUGGUGACGGGUAACGGAGGAUAAGGGUUCGACUCCGGAGAAGGGGCCUGAGAAAUGGCCACUACGUCUAAGGAUGGCAGCAGGCGCGCAAAUUACCCACUCUCAGAAUGAGGAGGUAGUGACGAGAAAUAACGAGACCGUUCUCUACGAGGCCGGUCAUCGGAAUGGGUACAAUUUAAACCCUUUAACGAGUAUCUAUGAGAGGGCAAGUCUGGUGCCAGCAGCCGCGGUAAUUCCAGCU
This 501-nucleotide ribosomal RNA is filed under the name Merlinius joctus. Its description in RNAcentral is "SSU rRNA". It matches the Rfam family "Eukaryotic small subunit ribosomal RNA", at positions 88 to 590 of the family's 1831-position model. The record is from RNAcentral. Lineage: Eukaryota; Metazoa; Nematoda; Chromadorea; Rhabditida; Merliniidae.